Molecule: transfer-messenger RNA, 108 nt
Filed under: activated sludge metagenome
Description: transfer-messenger RNA Thaue_sp_MZ1T
Rfam family: Betaproteobacteria transfer-messenger RNA
About the family: Bacterial tmRNA, also known as 10Sa RNA or SsrA, is named for its dual tRNA and mRNA-like properties.
Source: RNAcentral
UAAACGCCAACGAUGAGCGUUUCGCACUGGCCGCUUAAGGCCUAUGCCGAGGCUGCUUGAGCCUUGUUACCAAAGAAAAGCCGGUGGGGACUUCGGUCCCCAUCGUCA